GGAAAAGUGGCAGAGUGGUUGAUCGCGACGGUCUCGAAAACCGUUUUACCAGUAAUGGUAACGGGGGUUCGAAUCCCCCCUUUUCCG
Molecule: transfer RNA, 87 nt
Filed under: Bacteroidota bacterium
Lineage: Bacteria; Pseudomonadati; Bacteroidota
Description: Bacteroidetes bacterium (activated sludge metagenome) tRNA-Ser
Rfam family: tRNA
About the family: Transfer RNA (tRNA) molecules are approximately 80 nucleotides in length. Their secondary structure includes four short double-helical elements and three loops (D, anti-codon, and T loops). Further hydrogen bonds mediate the characteristic L-shaped molecular structure. tRNAs have two regions of fundamental functional importance: the anti-codon, which is responsible for specific mRNA codon recognition, and the 3' end, to which the tRNAs corresponding amino acid is attached (by aminoacyl-tRNA synthetases). tRNAs cope with the degeneracy of the genetic code in two manners: having more than one tRNA (with a specific anti-codon) for a particular amino acid; and 'wobble' base-pairing, i.e. permitting non-standard base-pairing at the 3rd anti-codon position.
Source: RNAcentral